AGUAAAUCCUGUAAAUAAGUAUGCAUAGAUUAUGUUUAAGUUCUGAGCCUUUCACUGUUACCAAACUAAACAAAUAGCAGUGUGGUUUGUCUAAAUAAUACAGUGAGACAGUUGUAUUGCGUGAUUUAAACUCUUGUUUGGAUUACUAUGCACUGAUUGUAGUAGGGAAUUUGCUAGGCAUUGUGCAAGGUUUGGUAGAUUCAGGAAGUUGCAUAAAUGUUUACUUGUCACAUCGUCAUCAUGGGAAUUUACUGGACCAAGCCGGUUUACUCACAUCCAUCCAGUAUUUAAGAGACGGUACCACAGAUGCCUUAGUAAAUACAGACUGUGACAUUGUAAUAACUGGACAAGACAUCUAUUCAAGGAUGAAGACAUUACGUGCAAUGCUACUGAUGCUGUUUGUUGCAUCAGUCUUUUCAAAACCAUUUGGUUUGCGCAGAAGAUUUGAUUCAUCGGACUCUGUGCGAUCUAGAUUCAGUUCAGAGGGAAAUGAUUCACAGUCUGAUGAGAAUUCUGAAUCAAACGGGUGUAAAUCAAGUGAUUCUGAAUCUUCGGAGGAAGUUAUCAGCGUUGUGUCAAGCACAUUCCCUCCAGCUAGCACAACAAGUCCAUUGACUGCUGGCAAGACAACAACAACACCACCAGCUACCACAACACAAGCCAUCACACAAUGUGUUACUGAAAGAAGGGGUGAUAAUAGUGUUGUUAUAAUAUCUUGUAGUACUUCUCCAUAA
This 734-nucleotide long non-coding RNA is filed under the name Carassius auratus (goldfish). RNAcentral describes it as "lncRNA (ENSCARG00000001763.1)". The record is from RNAcentral. Lineage: Eukaryota; Metazoa; Chordata; Actinopteri; Cypriniformes; Cyprinidae.